RNAcentral lists this non-coding RNA (48 nucleotides) under Alexandrium minutum. Lineage: Eukaryota; Dinophyceae; Gonyaulacales; Pyrocystaceae. The record is from RNAcentral.
UUUUUUUUUUUUUUUUUUUUUUUUUUUUUUUUUUUUUUUUUGUUGCCU